GUAAGGAAUAUUGGACAAUGGACGCAAGUCUGAUCCAGCCAUGCCGCGUGAAGGAUUAAGGUCCUCUGGAUUGUAAACUUCUUUUAUAAGGGACGAAAAAAGGCUUUUCUAAGUCGUCUGACGGUACCUUAUGAAUAAGCACCGGCUAACUCCGUGCCAGCAGCCGCGGUAAUACGGAGGGUGCAAGCGUUAUCCGGAUUCCCUGGGUUUAAAGGGUGCGUAGGCGGGCAGGUAAGUCAGUGGUGAAAUCCUAGAGCUUAACUCUAGAACUGCCAUUGAUACUAUCUGUCUUGAAUAUUGUGGAGGUAAGCGGAAUAUGUCAUGUAGCGGUGAAAUGCUUAGAUAUGACAUAGAACACCUAUUGCGAAGGCAGCUUACUACGCAUAUAUUGACGCUGAGGCACGAAAGCGUGGGGAUCAAACAGGAUUAGAAACCCUGGUAGUCC
This 445-nucleotide ribosomal RNA is filed under the name uncultured bacterium. RNAcentral's name for it is "bacterial SSU rRNA". It matches the Rfam family "Bacterial small subunit ribosomal RNA", at positions 354 to 796 of the family's 1533-position model. The record is from RNAcentral.